Molecule: small nuclear RNA, 107 nt
Filed under: Bison bison bison
Lineage: Eukaryota; Metazoa; Chordata; Mammalia; Artiodactyla; Bovidae
Source: RNAcentral
GUGCUCGCUUCGGCAGCACAUACACUAAAAUUGGAACGAUACAGAGAAGAUUACCAUGGCCCCUGCACAAGGAUGACAUGCAAAUUCGUGAAGCGUUCCAUAUUUUU